ACUCUCUCUGUCUCUCGAAACACAAACGGCGCUCGGGCCGCUCCCUCAUCAUACAUCGAUCAAUCCAGUCAUCCGGUCCUCGUCCAGUCGUCCAGUCGUCCUCGUCGUCGUCCAGUCGUCCAGUCGUCCAGUCGUCCUGUCGUCCAGUCGUCCUCGUCCAGUCGUCCUCGUCGCUCCUGUUGCUCAUCCAGUCGUCCUCGGCUCGAUUGUAAUAGAAGAUCGAAACCCAGACGACCUCCGUCGAAACCCAGACGUCCUCCGGUCUCCGCCU
This 271-nucleotide long non-coding RNA is filed under the name Rosa chinensis. RNAcentral's name for it is "sRNA RchiOBHm_Chr7g0210221". Lineage: Eukaryota; Viridiplantae; Streptophyta; Magnoliopsida; Rosales; Rosaceae. The record is from RNAcentral.